This is a small nucleolar RNA of Choloepus didactylus (southern two-toed sloth), 93 nucleotides long. RefSeq annotates it as small nucleolar RNA SNORA40. NCBI's taxonomy places the organism in Eukaryota, Metazoa, Chordata, Mammalia, Pilosa, Megalonychidae. The transcript has a single exon. The record is from RefSeq and is a predicted model, not a curated record.
GGCCCUUGUGUGGUUUUGUUUAAUUUGUGGACAGAGACCCACAGACAGGUGCAAAAAAUAAAUCCUCUUUUGCAAUCCUUAAAAAAAGAAAUA